This 465-nucleotide ribosomal RNA is filed under the name uncultured Klebsiella sp. Its description in RNAcentral is "bacterial SSU rRNA". It matches the Rfam family "Bacterial small subunit ribosomal RNA", at positions 338 to 795 of the family's 1533-position model. Lineage: Bacteria; Pseudomonadati; Pseudomonadota; Gammaproteobacteria; Enterobacterales; Enterobacteriaceae. The record is from RNAcentral.
CCUACGGGGGGCAGCAGUGGGGAAUAUUGCACAAUGGGCGCAAGCCUGAUGCAGCCAUGCCGCGUGUGUGAAGAAGGCCUUCGGGUUGUAAAGCACUUUCAGCGGGGAGGAAGGCGUUAAGGUUAAUAACCUUGGCGAUUGACGUUACCCGCAGAAGAAGCACCGGCUAACUCCGUGCCAGCAGCCGCGGUAAUACGGAGGGUGCAAGCGUUAAUCGGAAUUACUGGGCGUAAAGCGCACGCAGGCGGUUUGUCAAGUCGGAUGUGAAAUCCCCGGGCUCAACCUGGGAACUGCAUUCGAAACUGGCAGGCUAGAGUCUUGUAGAGGGGGGUAGAAUUCCAGGUGUAGCGGUGAAAUGCGUAGAGAUCUGGAGGAAUACCGGUGGCGAAGGCGGCCCCCUGGACAAAGACUGACGCUCAGGUGCGAAAGCGUGGGGAGCAAACAGGAUUAGAUAGCCGGGUAGUC